GAUCAACGCUGGCGGCGUGCAUGAGACAUGCAAGUCGAACGGAUGACUCGGGCUUGCUCGAGUCGUUAGUGGCGGACGGCUGAGUAACGCGUGGGUGACCUGCCCCGAAGUGGGGAAUAACUGCCCGAAAGGGUGGCUAAUACCGCAUGUGGUGGUGCGUUCAAUUGCACCAGUAAAGCCGCAAGGCGCUUCGGGAGGGGCCUGCGUCCGAUUAGCUCGUUGGUGGGGAACGGCUCACCAAGGCGACGAUCGGUAGGUGGUCUGAGAGGACGAUCACCCAGACUGGGACUGAGACACGGCCCAGACUCCUACGGGAGGCAGCAGUCGGGAAUUUUGCUCAAUGGGGGAAACCCUGAAGCAGCAACGCCGCGUGAGGGAUGAAGGCC
This 386-nucleotide ribosomal RNA is filed under the name uncultured bacterium. RNAcentral's name for it is "bacterial SSU rRNA". It matches the Rfam family "Bacterial small subunit ribosomal RNA", at positions 28 to 416 of the family's 1533-position model. The record is from RNAcentral.